UGCCCCCCGUGCUCCUCUACUCGCUGGCCGCCGGGGUCCCCGUGCUCGUGGCAAAACACAGUAUGGUGACACUGUCCUGCUUCAUGAACACAGUAAAUGUUGCUGAGAGAUCAUGGCAUUUUCUCUCCUGCUGAGACUAAGCUGGGCUUCUAAACCUUAAGAGAACACUCCAGGAAACUUCAUCUAAUUGGGUUUACUGUCUUGGAAUCAGAUGAUUAUUAAAAUGCUUCCAAUUGUAUGUAGUAUAUAUGAUGUAGUAUACUACAUGGUUGUGCAUUAUAGUUAAUUACAUACACACAUAUUUUGGCUGUCAAAAGAUUAUAAAUUCCUAUAGACUAGCAUAUUUGUCUUGCGUAUUUUUGCUUCUUGCUCACCACAUCCUGACUACCAUAAUGCCUUUAAAAUGGUAGAUAUAAAUAACGCUAAUAUUUGUGUAUUUAAAAAAAUAAAAUUAAUAGAAAUUAAAA
RNAcentral lists this long non-coding RNA (467 nucleotides) under Homo sapiens (human). RNAcentral's name for it is "non-protein coding lnc-FRRS1-5:1". The record is from RNAcentral. Lineage: Eukaryota; Metazoa; Chordata; Mammalia; Primates; Hominidae.